Long non-coding RNA from Cryptomeria japonica (Japanese cedar), 574 nucleotides. RefSeq lists it as uncharacterized. The transcript has 2 exons. Lineage: Eukaryota; Viridiplantae; Streptophyta; Pinopsida; Cupressales; Cupressaceae. The record is from RefSeq and is a predicted model, not a curated record.
CUCACAUGUGUAGCAGUUGUCGGAGGAUGCACAUUGGGAAUGAAUAAGAAGGUGAUAGGUGUGACCCCCAUUGAAUUCAAAUGUGACUUUCUAUUUAUCAUCUCAUUGAUGGAUGAAGAAGGAGAUUUUUGGGAUCAAAUUUUAUCUUGGCUUGUUUUCGAGAGAACAGAGUAAAAAGUACAUUCCUGGGCUUGUGAGAAGAUUUUGGAGAGAGACCUAGAAAGAAAGCUCCAUCAAUUCUUCAUCAAUCCCUUGGAGGCUUGACAGGUCUACCACCACCCUCUCGAUCCUGGAGUGUCUGGAGCUGAAGAUACAUAAGAAAGAUUUUGAUGAUUUGGAUAAGUAAGAGGACAUGUAUAAAUUUCUAAGGAUUGGGGAUCCAAUUGACCUUUAAGUUGUAUUUUUUCUUUUUCUGCUUAUGUUUAAGAGGGAGCUCUUAUACUUCUAUAUAAUUCCUGUUAAUGUGCUGGUUCUGAUCCUUUUGGACCAGUUUUCCUUUGCCCUAAGGACUCCUUUUAUAUAGGAUUCGAGAUUCUUGUUUCCUGCUUAUCAUAAUAAAAACAUAAUUCUGUUA